RNAcentral lists this unclassified non-coding RNA (224 nucleotides) under plant metagenome. RNAcentral describes it as "partial contains small subunit ribosomal RNA, internal transcribed spacer 1, and 5.8S ribosomal RNA". The record is from RNAcentral.
UCUCCGUUGGUGAAUCAGCGGAGGGAUCAUUACAGGACUCGCAAGACUCCUUCACCCUGUGAACCUCACUACAAGCACGUUGCUUCGGCGGGUGUCCCGGCGGGGGUUUUCCCUCGCCGGGGCGCACAGCCCGCCGGCAGCCUACUAUACUCUGUCUCUUUGCGUUGGCAUCUCGAGAAAAAACAAACAAGUUAAAACUUUCAACAACGGAUCUCUUGGUUCUG